Molecule: ribosomal RNA, 482 nt
Filed under: Procambarus reimeri
Lineage: Eukaryota; Metazoa; Arthropoda; Malacostraca; Decapoda; Cambaridae
Description: partial 16S ribosomal RNA
Rfam family: Bacterial large subunit ribosomal RNA
Source: RNAcentral
GACCGUGCAAAGGUAGCAUAAUCAUUAGUUUUUUAAUUGAAGGCUAGAAUGAAUGGUUGGACAAGAAAUAAUCUGUCUUAAUUAAAUAUAUUGAAUUUAACUUUUAAGUGAAAAGGCUUAAAUAAUCUGAAGGGACGAUAAGACCCUAUAAAACUUUAUAUUUUAAAAUUGUAGUUAAUUUUAUUCAAAUAUAUUAUUUAAAAAUAUUUUGUUGGGGUGACAAGGAUAAAAUUAAAAGUAACUGUCCUUUUUUAUUACAGUAAUGUUUGGUUUAAUGAUCCUUAAAUGGAUUAAAGAUUAAGUUACUUUAGGGAUAACAGCGUAAUUUUCUUUAAGAGUUCUUAUCGACAGGAAAGUUUGCGACCUCGAUGUUGAAUUAAAAGUUCUUUAUAGAGUAGAGACUAUAAAAGAAGGUCUGUUCGACCUUUAAAUUUUUACAUGAUUUGAGUUCAAACCGGUGUAAGCCAGGUUGGUUUCUAUCU